UACGAAGGGGACUAGCGUUGUUCGGAAUUACUGGGCGUAAAGCGUGCGCAGGCGGUUUUGUAAGCCAGAUGUGAAAUCCCCGGGCUUAACCUGGGAAUGGCAUUUGGGACUGCAAGGCUUGAGUGCGGCAGAGGAGACUGGAAUUCCUGGUGUAGCAGUGAAAUGCGUAGAUAUCAGGAGGAAUAUCGAUGGCGAAGGCAGGUCUCUGGGCUGACACUGACGCUCAUGCACGAAAGCGUGGGGAGCAAACAGG
Molecule: ribosomal RNA, 253 nt
Filed under: uncultured bacterium
Lineage: Bacteria
Description: partial 16S ribosomal RNA
Rfam family: Bacterial small subunit ribosomal RNA
Source: RNAcentral